This 590-nucleotide ribosomal RNA is filed under the name Chaetomium sp. TR160. Its description in RNAcentral is "eukaryotic LSU rRNA". The stretch from base 223 to 376 matches the Rfam family "5.8S ribosomal RNA". The record is from RNAcentral. Lineage: Eukaryota; Fungi; Ascomycota; Sordariomycetes; Sordariales; Chaetomiaceae.
GGAAGUAAAAGUCGUAACAAGGUCUCCGUUGGUGAACCAGCGGAGGGAUCAUUACAGAGUUGCAAAACUCCCUAAACCAUUGUGAACGUUACCUAAACCGUUGCUUCGGCGGGCGGCCCGGGUCCUUCCCGGCGCCCCUCGGCCCUCGCGGGCGCCCGCCGGAGGUAAACCAAACUAUUGCAUUGUAUGGCCUCUCUGAGUCUUCUGUACUGAAUAAGUCAAAACUUUCAACAACGGAUCUCUUGGUUCUGGCAUCGAUGAAGAACGCAGCGAAAUGCGAUAAGUAAUGUGAAUUGCAGAAUUCAGUGAAUCAUCGAAUCUUUGAACGCACAUUGCGCCCGCCAGUAUUCUGGCGGGCAUGCCUGUUCGAGCGUCAUUUCAACCAUCAAGCCCCGGGCUUGUGUUGGGGACCUGCGGCUGCCGCAGGCCCUGAAAUGCAGUGGCGGGCUCGCUGUCACUCCGAGCGUAGUAGUUACAUCUCGCUCUGGGCGUGCUGCGGGUUCCGGCCGUUAAAAGCCUUAUUUACCCAAGGUUGACCUCGGAUCAGGUAGGAAGACCCGCUGAACUUAAGCAUAUCAAUAAGCGGAGGA